This 243-nucleotide long non-coding RNA is filed under the name Lathyrus oleraceus (garden pea). Its description in RNAcentral is "Pisum sativum (pea) long non-coding RNA (PSAT_LNC001611)". The record is from RNAcentral. Lineage: Eukaryota; Viridiplantae; Streptophyta; Magnoliopsida; Fabales; Fabaceae.
AAGGGCUAAGUCCUAAGGAAAGCAAAAGAUGAGGGAUAAAGAAAUAAAACCACAAUGGAGUCCCUCUCUUGAGAUCAUAUAGAUGAUCCAAGUAGCUUCCAUCUUUUGGAAUAAGCAACCACAAAGUAUAAGCAAUCAAACAAGUCUCAUAAGAGACCCUCAAUGUAUCUUGUAUCUUCCCUUUGGAUGAACAUGGUAAUGAUCCUCCAAUUAAGCUCAUAGAGUCCCUAGUCACAAAAGCAC